CCUACGGGAGGCAGCAGUGAGGAAUAUUGGACAAUGGGCGCAAGCCUGAUCCAGCCAUGCCGCGUGCAGGAUGAAGCAUCUAUGGUGUGUAAACUGCUUUUGUACAGGAAGAAACCUCCCGACGUGUCGGGAAUUGACGGUACUGUAAGAAUAAGGAUCGGCUAACUCCGUGCCAGCAGCCGCGGUAAUACGGAGGAUCCAAGCGUUAUCCGGAAUCAUUGGGUUUAAAGGGUCCGUAGGCGGGCCAGUAAGUCAGUGGUGAAAUCUCUCCGCUCAACGGGGAAAUGGCCAUUGAUACUGCUGGUCUUGAAUUAUUAGGAAGUAACUAGAAUAUGUAGUGUAGCGGUGAAAUGCUUAGAGAUUACAUGGAAUACCAAUUGCGAAGGCAGGUUACUACUAAUGGAUUGACGCUGAUGGACGAAAGCGUGGGUAGCGAACAGGAUUAGACUACCCGUGGUACGUCCACGCCGUAAACGAUGGAUACUAGCUGGUUGGGGGCAACUUCAGUGGCUAAGCGAAAGUGAUAAGUAUCCCACCGUGGGGAGUUACGUUCGCGAAGAUGAAACUCGAAAGUAGUAAGUCGCGUGAGAGUACGCGACGACGCACGAGGGAGGGAG
This 617-nucleotide ribosomal RNA is filed under the name uncultured bacterium. Its description in RNAcentral is "bacterial SSU rRNA". It matches the Rfam family "Bacterial small subunit ribosomal RNA", at positions 338 to 955 of the family's 1533-position model. The record is from RNAcentral.